GUGGGGAAUUUUGGACAAUGGGCGCAAGCCUGAUCCAGCCAUGCCGCGUGCAGGAUGAAGGCCUUCGGGUUGUAAACUGCUUUUGUACGGAACGAAAAGACUCUGGUUAAUACCUGGGGUCCAUGACGGUACCGUAAGAAUAAGCACCGGCUAACUACGUGCCAGCAGCCGCGGUAAUACGUAGGGUGCGAGCGUUAAUCGGAAUUACUGGGCGUAAAGCGUGCGCAGGCGGUUAUGUAAGACAGAUGUGAAAUCCCCGGGCUCAACCUGGGAAAUGCAUUUGUGACUGCAUAGCUAGAGUACGGCAGAGGGGGAUGGAAUUCCGCGUGUAGCAGUGAAAUGCGUAGAUAUGCGGAGGAACACCGAUGGCGAAGGCAAUCCCCUGGGCCUGUACUGACGCUCAUGCACGAAAGCGUGGGGAGCAAACAGGAUUAGAAACCCCUGUAGUCC
Molecule: ribosomal RNA, 450 nt
Filed under: uncultured bacterium
Lineage: Bacteria
Description: partial 16S ribosomal RNA
Rfam family: Bacterial small subunit ribosomal RNA
Source: RNAcentral